CCUACGGGAGGCAGCAGUGGGGAAUAUUGCACAAUGGGGGAAACCCUGAUGCAGCGACGCCGCGUGAAGGAAGAAGUAUUUCGGUAUGUAAACUUCUAUCAGCAGGGAAGAAAAUGACGGUACCUGACUAAGAAGCCCCGGCUAACUACGUGCCAGCAGCCGCGGUAAUACGUAGGGGGCAAGCGUUAUCCGGAUUUACUGGGUGUAAAGGGAGCGUAGGCGGUUUAGCAAGUCAGAAGUGAAAGCCCUGGGCUCAACUCCGGGACUGCUUUUGAAACUGUUGAACUAGGUUGCAGGAGAGGUAAGUGGAAUGCCUAGUGUAGCGGUGAAAUGCGUAGAUAUUAGGAGGAACACCAGUGGCGAAGGCGGCUUACUGGACUGUAAAUGACGCUGAGGCUCGAAAGCGUGGGGAGCAAACAGGAUUAGAUACCCUUGUAGUC
This 440-nucleotide ribosomal RNA is filed under the name uncultured bacterium. RNAcentral's name for it is "partial 16S ribosomal RNA". It matches the Rfam family "Bacterial small subunit ribosomal RNA", at positions 338 to 795 of the family's 1533-position model. The record is from RNAcentral.